GUGCUCACUUCGGCAGCACAUAUACUAAAACUGGAACGAUACAGAGAAGAUUAGCAAGGCCCCUGCACAAGGAUGACACGCAAAUUCGUGAAGCCUUCCGUAUUUUU
Molecule: small nuclear RNA, 107 nt
Filed under: Cervus elaphus hippelaphus
Lineage: Eukaryota; Metazoa; Chordata; Mammalia; Artiodactyla; Cervidae
Source: RNAcentral